This 253-nucleotide ribosomal RNA is filed under the name uncultured bacterium. RNAcentral describes it as "partial 16S ribosomal RNA". It matches the Rfam family "Bacterial small subunit ribosomal RNA", at positions 524 to 776 of the family's 1533-position model. The record is from RNAcentral.
UACGAAGGGGGCUAGCGUUGCUCGGAAUCACUGGGCGUAAAGCGCACGUAGGCGGAUUUCUAAGUCAGGGGUGAAAUCCUGGAGCUCAACUCCAGAACUGCCUUUGAUACUGGGAAUCUCGAGUCCGGGAGAGGUGAGUGGAACUGCGAGUGUAGAGGUGAAAUUCGUAGAUAUUCGCAAGAACACCAGUGGCGAAGGCGGCUCACUGGCCCGGUACUGACGCUGAGGUGCGAAAGCGUGGGGAGCGAACAGG